UGAGAUUCUGUAUAUGUGCAUGACUAUGACAUCAAACCAGGUCCAUUUAAUCACAGCAUUUACACUGAAUUUCAGUCAUAAAGGACCUCAGAGGUUAUAAAAUUCAACCUAUCAAAUCAUGUAAGGAACCUGAGUGCUGAUCAGAGGUAAGAUUUGAACCGAGAUUUCUUUGACUUUAGAGUCAAUACGCC
Molecule: long non-coding RNA, 191 nt
Filed under: Monodelphis domestica (gray short-tailed opossum)
Lineage: Eukaryota; Metazoa; Chordata; Mammalia; Didelphimorphia; Didelphidae
Description: lncRNA (ENSMODG00000048654.1)
Source: RNAcentral